Molecule: ribosomal RNA, 1020 nt
Filed under: Aspergillus niger
Lineage: Eukaryota; Fungi; Ascomycota; Eurotiomycetes; Eurotiales; Aspergillaceae
Description: SSU rRNA
Rfam family: Eukaryotic small subunit ribosomal RNA
Source: RNAcentral
UUUAUACGGUGAAACUGCGAAUGGCUCAUUAAAUCAGUUAUCGUUUAUUUGAUAGUACCUUACUACAUGGAUACCUGUGGUAAUUCUAGAGCUAAUACAUGCUGAAAACCUCGACUUCGGAAGGGGUGUAUUUAUUAGAUAAAAAACCAAUGCCCUUCGGGGCUCCUUGGUGAAUCAUAAUAACUUAACGAAUCGCAUGGCCUUGCGCCGGCGAUGGUUCAUUCAAAUUUCUGCCCUAUCAACUUUCGAUGGUAGGAUAGUGGCCUACCAUGGUGGCAACGGGUAACGGGGAAUUAGGGUUCGAUUCCGGAGAGGGAGCCUGAGAAACGGCUACCACAUCCAAGGAAGGCAGCAGGCGCGCAAAUUACCCAAUCCCGACACGGGGAGGUAGUGACAAUAAAUACUGAUACGGGGCUCUUUUGGGUCUCGUAAUUGGAAUGAGUACAAUCUAAAUCCCUUAACGAGGAACAAUUGGAGGGCAAGUCUGGUGCCAGCAGCCGCGGUAAUUCCAGCUCCAAUAGCGUAUAUUAAAGUUGUUGCAGUUAAAAAGCUCGUAGUUGAACCUUGGGUUCGGCCGGCCGGUCCGCCUCACCGCGAGUACUGUCCGGCCGUUCCUUUCCUUCUGGGGAAUCCCAUGGCCUUCACUGGCUGUGGGGGGAACCAGGACUUUUACUGUGAAAAAAUUAGAGUGUUCAAAGCAGGCCUUUGCUCGAAUACAUUAGCAUGGAAUAAUAGAAUAGGACGUGUGGUUCUAUUUUGUUGGUUUCUAGGACCGCCGUAAUGAUUAAUAGGGAUAGUCGGGGGCGUCAGUAUUCAGCUGUCAGAGGUGAAAUUCUUGGAUUUGCUGAAGACUAACUACUGCGAAAGCAUUCGCCAAGGAUGUUUUCAUUAAUCAGGGAACGAAAGUUAGGGGAUCGAAGACGAUCAGAUACCGUCGUAGUCUUAACCAUAAACUAUGCCGACUAGGGAUCGGGCGGGAUUCUACAAUGACCCGCUCGGCACCUUACGAGAAAUCAAAGU